UUACAGUCUGUUAGAACUGUCCUAGAGGU
This 29-nucleotide non-coding RNA is filed under the name Rattus norvegicus (Norway rat). The record is from RNAcentral. Lineage: Eukaryota; Metazoa; Chordata; Mammalia; Rodentia; Muridae.